CUGCCAGCUUCUCAGUCUGCUAGCUUUCUGAUUAAAAUCAUUAUUCCUUGUUCCAAGAACUCAUCUCCCAAUUUAUUGGCCUGUUGUGAGAGGAGAUGAAACGAUUCGGGAAUGUUGUGCAGCUACUUUUCACAUGAAGUGAGUAGCAGAGGAAGCCAUGGCAAUUAAAGAAAAAGGAACUCCAGAGGUUAAGAGAAACUGAAGUAAAAGAGCAGUGAGUUCCACAUGCUUCCUGAGGCCAGCAGCCCCCUCCAGCCCUGAAAUUCUUCUUAUAAUAAAUUCUUCACUGCUUA
Molecule: long non-coding RNA, 293 nt
Organism: Bubalus bubalis (water buffalo)
Lineage: Eukaryota; Metazoa; Chordata; Mammalia; Artiodactyla; Bovidae
Exons: 2
Source: RefSeq, a predicted model, not a curated record